Homalodisca vitripennis (glassy-winged sharpshooter) is the source of this 1389-nucleotide RNA transcript. RefSeq lists it as uncharacterized. Lineage: Eukaryota; Metazoa; Arthropoda; Insecta; Hemiptera; Cicadellidae. The transcript is spliced from 2 exons. The record is from RefSeq and is a predicted model, not a curated record.
CGCCCGAUGUAGGGUUAAGACAACCAGUGUUUCUUGGAUUGGCAUCUAAGAGACAUACUAUCUUUGCCCCAAGGGGGAGCUCUUUGAACAAACUGGGUGUUAGGUAAUAUAUAUUUCCAUUAAGAGUCAUCUCUUAAGAAUCGGCUGUCAUGGUGGCCAUCUUGACAUACAGAACAUUUAUUUCAUGUGAAAACUGAAAGAUAUCUUGAAAAAAUUCAAUCAAAAUUAAUAAUCUUUGUGUUUGACCUUGCUUUUAAGCUAGUGUGCAUGUUAUUCUUAUGCCAGGAGUUAUUUUUUUAUUUUCAUAUCACUUAUUAUAACCCACAUUUCAUAUUUAUUGUAAAUCUAAUACAUUGUGACUGUAGUUUAACCAAUAAACUGUUUUUUAUUUUAGAUAAAAGAAAUAACUGUAUUAAAACUGCGAGUUCAGCUCCAGUUCACCUUCGUCUUACUUGCAGCAUUUGAAAUCUGAUAGAAUUUGUUUAAAGAUUCUUCAUUCUUUAUUGCCGACUCUUUUUGGAUCCCUUCAGACGAACUUAAUUCCAGAUUUCAGGAGUCUGUGACAGCAUCAGAUUUAAGAUACUACACGUAAGAGAAAGGUGAACUGGAGCUAAAUUCAACAUUCACUUCGAAUCAGCCCUUUCCACCAUAGCUGCAUUAUGUGUAGUAUUAGAACUAACUACUUGUUUCUUUUUUUACAAAUGUUUUGUAAUGCAAGAUUUGUUGGUACCAUUUACAUUAAUUACAGAAAGUUCAUGUGUCAAUCUACCAAUCUAAAGAGAAGCAGAGCCAAAAACAUUGACUUAUAAAAUAUCACAUCAGUUAUGAAACCUCUCCUAAAGUAGUAGCCUGUUUAAUUCAAGCUUGGGUAUUUCUUAUAUCUAAAUGUUUUCAAACAAUGAAAUUGUGUUGUUUUUGUUUAUGUUAUAAAAAAUAGGACAAUUUUUUUUAAAUAAAUUAAUAAGUCCAUACAAUUGGAUUUGAAUUAGGUUGAUAAGAUUCUAGGUCAACAAUGUAUUUUUAGUACAAGUUAUUUUAAAUAACACGUGCACAGUUCCUUCACGUGAUCAGUGGUUGGGGUUGAAACACAAUAAGUGCAAUAGGAUUAGAAGAGUUGCCACAUUCAACAGCAGUGACUUAGUUGAACAGUUACUAGUCUGAGUACUGGCAGCCUUCUCGUCAAAAUGCCAUUUUCUUUCAGUAAAGUUGUCAAAGAGGUUUCAUCAAUUACUCGACUUGAGAGACGGCUGCAGAAGGAACUAAUGUCGCUGGUGAAGGAACCGCCUCCAGGAGUUAUAGUUGACAGUAACGUUGCUGAACAGAACUUAAAUGUGUAAGUCUUUAAUAUCUCUAAGCUGGAGACAGUAACUAGAAGUUAGUAGUAUCUCA